GAGUGCUGAGCCCCUCACUGCUGGGGCCGGCGGCGCUGCCGGCCACUCGGAGUGCGGGGCCUGCUGAGCCCGCGCCCACCCAGAACUCGCUGGCCUGCGAGUGCAGCGCGCAGCCCCUGUUCCCGCCCGCGCGUCUCCCUCCACAUCUCCGGGCAAGCAAAGGGAGCCGGCUCCAGCCUCGGCCAGCCCAGAGAGUGCCUCCCACAGUGCAGCGGCGGGCUGAAGGGCUGGCUUCUCAAGCGUGGCCAGAGUGGACGCCGAGGCUGAGGAGGCGCCCAGAGUGAGCAAGGGCUGAUAGCACGUUGUCACCUCAAUACCACAGAAAUUGAAAACAGAGAUAAAAGGAGACUACUGUAUAUCAGUUCAAGGCCAAGUGACAACCUUCUAAGAAAAACUCACAGAACUGGAAUUUGGAAGGCAAGUUAUGGUAUCUCAAACGUGUGAGUAAAAACAAACUAAAAAUGAGAACCUAACAAACUAAGUAGUAGUAGAACAAAAGCAGGGGAUUGAGAGUAAGCUCCGCUGUAGACUUUGCUUCACUGUAGGUGGGUUUUGCGUGAGCCGGAUCCAUCUCACCUUGAAAUGGAUCCAGCCUAAGAGUGCUAUGCAAAUAACCAAGGUGACUGAGCCU
This 631-nucleotide long non-coding RNA is filed under the name Homo sapiens (human). RNAcentral describes it as "HSALNT0386464". The record is from RNAcentral. Lineage: Eukaryota; Metazoa; Chordata; Mammalia; Primates; Hominidae.